This 423-nucleotide ribosomal RNA is filed under the name uncultured Glomeromycotina. RNAcentral describes it as "SSU rRNA". It matches the Rfam family "Eukaryotic small subunit ribosomal RNA", at positions 671 to 1092 of the family's 1831-position model. Lineage: Eukaryota; Fungi; Glomeromycota. The record is from RNAcentral.
CGGUACGUACUGGCAUCGUCGGUUUCUCCCUUCUGACGAACCAUGAUGUCAUUUAUUUGGUGUUGUGGGGAAUCAGGACUGUUACUUUGAAAAAAUUAGAGUGUUUAAAGCAGGCUCACGCUUGAAUACAUUAGCAUGGAAUAAUGAAAUAGGACGUUUGAUUCUAUUUUGUUGGUUUCUAGGAUCGACGUAAUGAUUAAUAGGGAUAGUUGGGGGCAUUAGUAUUCAAUUGUCAGAGGUGAAAUUCUUGGAUUUAUUGAAGACUAACUACUGCGAAAGCAUUUGCCAAGGAUGUUUUCAUUAAUCAUGAACGAAAGUUAGGGGAUCGAAGACGAUCAGAUACCGUCGUAGUCUUAACCAUAAACUAUGCCGACUAGGGAUCGGAUGAUGUUAAUUUUUUAAUGACUCAUUCGGCGCCUUACG